CUGCAAACAGCCUCGCUCUUCUGGUCCACUAGAAAUCGGGACAGGCUGAACACUGACUAUGUUAAGGUCAUGGAUGUAUCCCCAGACCUAGUUGUUUCCCUAGGUGCGAUAUUAUAAAUUCUGGUGAUAAGC
RNAcentral lists this small nucleolar RNA (132 nucleotides) under Neotoma lepida (desert woodrat). Its description in RNAcentral is "Small nucleolar RNA SNORA72". It matches the Rfam family "Small nucleolar RNA SNORA72". Rfam says of the family: U72 is a member of the H/ACA class of snoRNAs. The snoRNA gene is located in intron 4 of the ribosomal L30 protein gene in human, mouse and chicken. Lineage: Eukaryota; Metazoa; Chordata; Mammalia; Rodentia; Cricetidae. The record is from Rfam by way of RNAcentral.